RNAcentral lists this transfer RNA (72 nucleotides) under Blattella germanica (German cockroach). RNAcentral's name for it is "tRNA-Thr (CGT) (tRNA-Thr-CGT-11-1)". It matches the Rfam family "tRNA". Rfam says of the family: Transfer RNA (tRNA) molecules are approximately 80 nucleotides in length. Their secondary structure includes four short double-helical elements and three loops (D, anti-codon, and T loops). Further hydrogen bonds mediate the characteristic L-shaped molecular structure. tRNAs have two regions of fundamental functional importance: the anti-codon, which is responsible for specific mRNA codon recognition, and the 3' end, to which the tRNAs corresponding amino acid is attached (by aminoacyl-tRNA synthetases). tRNAs cope with the degeneracy of the genetic code in two manners: having more than one tRNA (with a specific anti-codon) for a particular amino acid; and 'wobble' base-pairing, i.e. permitting non-standard base-pairing at the 3rd anti-codon position. Lineage: Eukaryota; Metazoa; Arthropoda; Insecta; Blattodea; Blattellidae. The record is from RNAcentral.
GCCUUCUUAGCUCAGUGGUAGAGCACUGGUCUCGUAAACCUGGGGUCGUGAGUUCAAACCUCACAGGAGGCA